RNAcentral lists this ribosomal RNA (301 nucleotides) under uncultured bacterium. RNAcentral's name for it is "partial 16S ribosomal RNA". It matches the Rfam family "Bacterial small subunit ribosomal RNA", at positions 509 to 808 of the family's 1533-position model. The record is from RNAcentral.
CAGCCGCCGCGGUAAUACAGAGGGUGCGAGCGUUAAUCGGAUUUACUGGGCGUAAAGCGUGCGUAGGCGGCUUUUUAAGUCGGAUGUGAAAUCCCUGAGCUUAACUUAGGAAUUGCAUUCGAUACUGGGAAGCUAGAGUAUGGGAGAGGAUGGUAGAAUUCCAGGUGUAGCGGUGAAAUGCGUAGAGAUCUGGAGGAAUACCGAUGGCGAAGGCAGCCAUCUGGCCUAAUACUGACGCUGAGGUACGAAAGCAUGGGGAGCAAACAGGAUUAGAUCCCCCGUAGUCCCUGUCUCUUAUACC